GCUAGCUUAUAUUUUACUUAUCCUUAAAACCCAGCUUACAGUGGCAGGCACCUGUAGUCCCAGCGACUCGGGAGGCUGAGGCAGGAGAAUGGCGUGAACCCGGAAGGCAGUGCUUGCAGUGAGCUGAGAUCGCGCCACAGCACUCCAGCCUGGGCGACAGAGCGAGGCUCUGUCUCAAAAAAAAAAGAGGAAAAAAGAAAAAGGAAAAAAACCAGCUUAAAUUCUUGUAGGAAUAAGGCCUUUGGCUUUCUGGGACCUUGGUCCACUCAGCUGCAAAAUUGACUUACAGGAUCAUGUCAAUCGCCA
Molecule: long non-coding RNA, 306 nt
Filed under: Rhinopithecus bieti (black snub-nosed monkey)
Lineage: Eukaryota; Metazoa; Chordata; Mammalia; Primates; Cercopithecidae
Description: lncRNA (ENSRBIG00000045467.1)
Source: RNAcentral